GCUCAGAUUGAACGCUGGCGGCAGGCCUAACACAUGCAAGUCGAACGGUAACAGGAAGAAGCUUGCUUCUUUGCUGACGAGUGGCGGACGGGUGAGUAAUGUCUGGGAAACUGCCUGAUGGAGGGGGAUAACUACUGGAAACGGUAGCUAAUACCGCAUAACGUCGCAAGACCAAAGAGGGGGACCUUCGGGCCUCUUGCCAUCGGAUGUGCCCAGAUGGGAUUAGCUUGUUGGUGGGGUAACGGCUCACCAAGGCGACGAUCCCUAGCUGGUCUGAGAGGAUGACCAGCCACACUGGAACUGAGACACGGUCCAGACUCCUACGGGAGGCAGCAGUGGGGAAUAUUGCACAAUGGGCGCAAGCCUGAUGCAGCCAUGCCGCGUGUAUGAAGAAGGCCUUCGGGUUGUAAAGUACUUUCAGCGGGGAGGAAGGGAGUAAAGUUAAUACCUUUGCUCAUUGACGUUACCCGCAGAAGAAGCACCGGCUAACUCCGUGCCAGCAGCCGCGGUAAUACGGAGGGUGCAAGCGUUAAUCGGAAUUACUGGGCGUAAAGCGCACGCAGGCGGUUUGUUAAGUCAGAUGUGAAAUCCCCGGGCUCAACCUGGGAACUGCAUCUGAUACUGGCAAGCUUGAGUCUCGUAGAGGGGGGUAGAAUUCCAGGUGUAGCGGUGAAA
This 675-nucleotide ribosomal RNA is filed under the name Escherichia sp. RNAcentral describes it as "bacterial SSU rRNA". It matches the Rfam family "Bacterial small subunit ribosomal RNA", at positions 22 to 686 of the family's 1533-position model. Lineage: Bacteria; Pseudomonadati; Pseudomonadota; Gammaproteobacteria; Enterobacterales; Enterobacteriaceae. The record is from RNAcentral.